Molecule: transfer RNA, 60 nt
Filed under: Stygobromus indentatus
Lineage: Eukaryota; Metazoa; Arthropoda; Malacostraca; Amphipoda; Crangonyctidae
Description: tRNA-Leu
Source: RNAcentral
CUUAAAGUGACAGAUAAUGUGUUAGACUUAAAGCCUAAUUAUGAGCUUUCUCCCUUAAGA